UACGAAGGGGGCUAGCGUUGUUCGGAUUUACUGGGCGUAAAGCGCACGUAGGCGGAUCGUUAAGUCGGGGGUGAAAUCCUGGAGCUCAACUCCAGAACUGCCUUCGAUACUGGAAGACUCGAGUCCGGGAGAGGUGAGUGGAACUGCGAGUGUAGAGGUGAAAUUCGUAGAUAUUCGCAAGAACACCAGUGGCGAAGGCGGCUCACUGGCCCGGGUACUGACGCUGAGGUGCGAAAGCGUGGGGAGCGAACGG
RNAcentral lists this ribosomal RNA (253 nucleotides) under uncultured bacterium. Its description in RNAcentral is "partial 16S ribosomal RNA". It matches the Rfam family "Bacterial small subunit ribosomal RNA", at positions 524 to 775 of the family's 1533-position model. The record is from RNAcentral.